GAUGAACGCUGGCGGCGUGCCUAAUACAUGCAAGUCGAGCGAAGCGGGGACGGGUGAGUAACACGUCGAUAACCUCCUAUACGACUGGGAUAACUUCGGGAAACCCGAGCUACACCCGAUGCUUAUACAUGGAUCCUCGCUGCAUUAGCUAGUUGGUAAGGUAACGGCUUACCAAGGCAACUAUGCAUAGCCGACCUGAGAGGGGUAUCGGCCACACUGGAACUGAGACACGGUCCAGACUCCUACGGGAGGCAGCAGUAAGGAAUCUUCCGCAAUGGGCGAAAGCCUGACGGAGCAACGCCGCGGGAGUGAUGAAGGUCUUCGGAUCGUAAAACUCUGUUAUUAGGGAAGCGGUACCUAAAGAGAAAGCCACGGCUAACUACGUGCCAGCAGCCGCGGUAAUUG
RNAcentral lists this ribosomal RNA (405 nucleotides) under uncultured bacterium. RNAcentral's name for it is "partial 16S ribosomal RNA". It matches the Rfam family "Bacterial small subunit ribosomal RNA", at positions 28 to 527 of the family's 1533-position model. The record is from RNAcentral.